CAGAAAUACAAGACCUGAUUGACAGCCUGGGAGGAGAAACCUGAGGUGCCUGAGGGCCUGGACUCAUGGGAGCAUCCCAAAACUCUUGUCAGUCCCUUGAGGGGUCUGAUAUCCCAAGAAGUGCCAGUCCCCAUGAGGCUGGCUCAGAAUAAAACUGCAGAGCAGGUGUUGGAAGGGUCAGGCCAAGGAAGAAAAGGAAAAGCUGAAGUGCCUGAGGUGCAGGGAAGCAUUUUGCUCUAUUCACUGACUUUGCUAAGUGCCGGCUCUGUUUUCCCAUUGUGGGCAUCACUGGACAUGGUCCCUCUGGAGGUGCUGCCAGACCAUUGAGUGCUCCAUCCCUGCCCUCCAGACACCCUCUUCCUGGAGGAAAGUCGGCAACUUUGGGUUUAUUCCAUUUUUUCACCCAUGCCAAAGCCUAUUUAAUAUCAGGUUUGCUGUGGGUUUGUUUGGGUUUGGUCCCACAAACGCCUCCAGGGCAGGUCAAUCCAUCUCCCAAGCCAACCCUUGGCUGUGCCUUUGGAGUUUGCAAAAUCCAAGGAGACCUCUGUUGUUCUGCUUGAAUAUCCCUCCCCAUCUCAGUCCCAAAUGGUGGGAAGCCAUUAGGGAAUAUUAUUGAUAAACAAUAGAUGUCUGGUGGAGAUGCUGAUGAUUUUCCUGGUACAAAAGGCUGCUGCAUCCUCUGUGAUAAUUCCCCUUUCUUUUCCUCCUUGUUGGCUUUGUGGCUUUGUGAUUUAUUUGUGGGCUGGCAGGCGUCCAUGGCCCUGCAGGAAAUGGAUGUCUGCUCUUGUGUUUGGGGGGGCCAUAUAAAUGUGUAAUUUUCCCACUACAUUAAUUACAGACGUUUCUCCCUGGCUGGAGCAGCUCCAUGGUUUCUGUGCCCUUUCAGUUUGUUCUCCCCAGCCCAGGCUGAGAGCGUUUCUAGGGAACUCCAGCUCUGACAUCCUCAGCUGAGCUGAGGGAAAGUUAAAGAAUUUGGCCACAAAAACUGUAGAAGGGAAACUCACUGGCCUUUUUUUUACCUGAUAGUAACUCCAGGAUAGCAGCAUGGCCAAGUUUUCCCUGACUAUUCCUCCUGCUGACGCUUUCCUCAAGGAUAAAAGUGGUUUGCCCUAAGAAAACAACCCUCUUGCUUAUGGAAAAGCAAUUGUAGGGCAAUUUACUUUGGAGUAGCUGUGCUACCUAAUUCCUGGCUCCUGGAGAGAGAGCCAGCCGGACUUGGAGCAAAGAAAGGAAACCCGAGGCAAAAUUCAAAGUGGUUAUAUCAGAUUUUGUUGGAGGAAAGGCUGGACAAGCCACAGUGAGGCCCUGGCACAGGGUGCCCAGAGCAGCUGUGGCAGCCCCUGGAUCCCUGGGA
Molecule: non-coding RNA, 1354 nt
Organism: Sturnus vulgaris (Common starling)
Lineage: Eukaryota; Metazoa; Chordata; Aves; Passeriformes; Sturnidae
Source: RefSeq, a predicted model, not a curated record